UAUAGUCAUUUGUGACCAUAGGUCGAUU
Molecule: small RNA, 28 nt
Filed under: Bombyx mori (domestic silkworm)
Lineage: Eukaryota; Metazoa; Arthropoda; Insecta; Lepidoptera; Bombycidae
Description: ovarian small RNA-23405
Source: RNAcentral